RNAcentral lists this ribosomal RNA (439 nucleotides) under uncultured bacterium. Its description in RNAcentral is "bacterial SSU rRNA". It matches the Rfam family "Bacterial small subunit ribosomal RNA", at positions 351 to 782 of the family's 1533-position model. The record is from RNAcentral.
GCAGUGGGGAAUUUUGGACAAUGGGCGCAAGCCUGAUCCAGCAAUGCCGCGUGAGUGAAGAAGGCCUUCGGGUUGUAAAGCUCUUUUGUCAGGGAAGAAACGGUGCUUUCUAAUACAGAGCGCUAAUGACGGUACCUGAAGAAUAAGCACCGGCUAACUACGUGCCAGCAGCCGCGGUAAUACGUAGGGUGCAAGCGUUAAUCGGAAUUACUGGGCGUAAAGCGUGCGCAGGCGGUUUUGUAAGACUGUCGUGAAAUCCCCGGGCUCAACCUGGGAAUGGCGAUGGUGACUGCAAGGCUAGAGUUUGGCAGAGGGGGGUAGAAUUCCACGUGUAGCAGUGAAAUGCGUAGAUAUGUGGAGGAACACCGAUGGCGAAGGCAGCCCCCUGGGUCAAAACUGACGCUCAUGCACGAAAGCGUGGGGAGCAAACAGGAUUAGA